This 616-nucleotide unclassified non-coding RNA is filed under the name Bacillus subtilis. RNAcentral's name for it is "partial contains 16S ribosomal RNA, 16S-23S ribosomal RNA intergenic spacer, and 23S ribosomal RNA". The stretch from base 1 to 204 matches the Rfam family "Bacterial small subunit ribosomal RNA", at positions 1332 to 1533 of the family's 1533-position model. The record is from RNAcentral. Lineage: Bacteria; Bacillati; Bacillota; Bacilli; Caryophanales; Bacillaceae.
UCGCUAGUAAUCGCGGAUCAGCAUGCCGCGGUGAAUACGUUCCCGGGUCUUGUACACACCGCCCGUCACACCACGAGAGUUUGCAACACCCGAAGUCGGUGGGGUAACCCUUACGGGAGCCAGCCGCCGAAGGUGGGGCAGAUGAUUGGGGUGAAGUCGUAACAAGGUAGCCGUAUCGGAAGGUGCGGCUGGAUCACCUCCUUUCUAAGGAUUUUAACGGAAUGCAGGUUUUGACCUGUACCAUCAGCGUUUUGCGUUCAGUUUUGAAGGUUCAUGGAAAAGCGGAAAACACCGGUUGGCUCAACCGGCUGCUGGAGGACUCGAGUAGAAAUGCUUGCAUUUCGACCGAGAGGCCGAAGCAGACGCGUGAGCUGGUGUUUGGAGCUGGACAUAAUUGGACUUUCAAUGCUUGUUCUUUGAAAACCGGAUAAAACGACAUUGUACCAAGUAUUAACCGAUUUUGAUCGAYUUGUCGAUCAAGUCUUUUCAUGUCCGCAUUUCAGGGAUUCGCCCCUGUGUGCGGAAAGCCGCUGAGACCGUUGGUCUUUAGAGGUGAAGUUAGGAAGGGCGCACGGUGGAUGCCUUGGCACUAGCGAGCCGAUGAAGGACGGGACUA